This 542-nucleotide ribosomal RNA is filed under the name Babesia vogeli. RNAcentral describes it as "SSU rRNA". It matches the Rfam family "Eukaryotic small subunit ribosomal RNA", at positions 510 to 1103 of the family's 1831-position model. The record is from RNAcentral. Lineage: Eukaryota; Apicomplexa; Aconoidasida; Piroplasmida; Babesiidae.
UGGAAUGAUGGUGACCCACACCCUCACCAGAGUAGCAAUUGGAGGGCAAGUCUGGUGCCAGCAGCCGCGGUAAUUCCAGCUCCAAUAGCGUAUAUUAAACUUGUUGCAGUUAAAAAGCUCGUAGUUGAAUUUUAGCGUGUUCGAGUUUGCCAUUCGUUUGGCUUUUUCGAGUUCGCUUUUGGGUUUUCCCUUUUUACUUUGAGAAAAUUAGAGUGUUUCAAGCAGACUUUUGUCUUGAAUACUUCAGCAUGGAAUAAUAGAGUAGGACUUUGGUUCUAUUUUGUUGGUUAUUGAACCUUAGUAAUGGUUAAUAGGAACGGUUGGGGGCAUUCGUAUUUAACUGUCAGAGGUGAAAUUCUUAGAUUUGUUAAAGACGAACUACUGCGAAAGCAUUUGCCAAGGACGUUUCCAUUAAUCAAGAACGAAAGUUAGGGGAUCGAAGACGAUCAGAUACCGUCGUAGUCCUAACCAUAAACCAUGCCGACUAGUGAUUGGAGGUCGUCGUUUUGCUGACCCCUUCAGGAACUUGAGAGAAAUCAAAG